AUUACCAUGGUGAGACUUAUAUUAGUGUUCGGUCCACUUAUUUACUGUAAAUCCACUUAUUACACUUGAGACAUGCAAGGUUUAUUGCACUUGACAGAAAUAAAAGACUGAAAUGGUAUGGAUCGCAGACAAAUGAACACCAGCAUAAAUCUUUUCUCUUUUGAUGAAAAAAUUCUCACAAUUUAUUAUUACGCAAAAUAUUAUUGAGACCGUUCCUUACACACACACACAAAUAUAUAUAUAUAUAUAUAUAUAUAUAUAUUAUUACACACAUACGUAUAUACAUACAUAUACACACAUACGUAUAUACACACAUAUACAUAUACACACACACACACACACACUGUAUAUAUAAGGUUGUCUCAAGAUAUUUGUGUCCAUGUUGAUUUAAUAAAAAACAUUUUUUAGAGCACUUCCUACCAAAAAAAUGUAUUUAAUGACAUUAUAUAAAUGGUAGAACCUGCUUUGUAGUAAUAACUUCAACCAGUCAUUUCCUGUAGCUCUUGAUCAGCAUAUCACUGAUGAGGGAUUUUAAACCAUUCCCCCCCAACAAAUAUGUUUCAGCUAAUUAAAAUGUCUUACAUGAACAGCACUAUUCAGGUCAUGCCACAACAUCUCAAUUGAGUUUACGGUAUAGUUCACCCAAAAAUGAAUAUUCUCUCAUCAUUAACUCUCCCUCAUACAAUCCCAGAUGUGUAUGACUUUCUUUCUUCUGCUGAACACAAACAAAGCUUUAACAAGAAUAUUUCAGCUUUGUAGGUCUAUAGAAUGCAAGUAAAUGGGUGCCAAAAUCCAUAUAAGGGCAACAUAAAAGUACUCCAGAUUACUCUGGAGGUGAAAUCCAUGUCUUCAGAAGUGAUAUGAUAGGUGUGUGUGAGAAACCAUUUAAUAUUUAAGUAUUUUAUUGUACUAUAAAUUCUCCUCCCUACUCAGUCAACCUCCGCUUUCACUUUCUCAUUCUCCUUUUGUGAUACACAUUUUACCCGCAUAUCGCCCCCUACCGGGCAGGGCAUUUAUGGUGGGAUUUUAUGAUAAAAAAUUACUUCAAAAUGUAUCUGUUUCUCAACCACACCUAUCAUAUCAUGUCUGAACAUAUGGAUUUAAUCACUGGAGACGUAUGGAAUACCUGUAUUCGUAUGGAAUACUAAUCUACAGUCAGCCGGUCAAUAUCAACUGAGUUUACAUUUUCUCUUACCUUGCAAGAACUGAUUGCUUGUCAUUUGUGAUCAUAUUUCAGUGGUCAGUUAUUUAUCGCCAGUUGCAUAACCCACCAAAAAAGUUAGUACAUCCAGCAGUAGGAAUGCCUACUAGUGGCCAACAGUACACUGACUUCCAGCAAUAAAAUUCCUUUGUGUAAACAGGGCAUAACUUGUGGUCCUACACUUAUAUUACAGUCAAGUCCAUUCCAGGAGUCCAAACAUAUCCGCCCCUCCUCCACAGAGACCAUCCAGUCUCGUUCUGCCCAGGAGGCAUUCCACUCUGAGACACAAGGGGGCAGUGUGAGCAGUGCCAGCUCUCCGAGCCGUAGGUCUGCCAGUCAGCGGCGUUCGUGGCAAGACCUCAUUGAGACGCCCCUCACCAGCUCUGGCCUCCAUUUCCUGCAAACACUGCCACUGGACGAUGCUGUGUUCAUUGAUUCCAAUCGAGCUGUGCCUGUAGAGCUCCGGCGCCAGUCCACUCUCCCUUCACACCCACCCAACCCAGCCAGAAGCCCAUAACAGCUGGAGGAAGAGGAGAAGGAGGGGGGGGGGGGGACUCGAAGGAGGAAGCAAGCACCGCAGCUUUACCUUGCCCCGUGAUUGUUGUCUUCAUCCCAUCCUGGCUGCCACCAGUGCAGCUGAACACGGAGAUGCCCAGCGCUACCAACUGGGAUGGGCUCAUGCCAGAGACACAGAAGAAAGUCAUACACAUCUGGGAUUCCAGGGGGGAUGAUGAAUCGCUACCCUGACAUUAUCCUGUAAAAUCUCUUGAUACAGUUUUGAAUUAAUUGUUCCCUCAAUGACUGCAAACUGUCCAGGCCCUGAAAUGGCAAAGCAGCCCCAAACUAUGAUGGAUCCUCCACCAUGCUUCACAGUUGGGAUGAGGCUUUGGUGUUGGCGUGAAGCACCUUUAUUCCUCUAAAUAAAACGUUGAGCGUUUCUGCCAAAAAGUUAAAUUUUUGUUUCAUCUGUCCACAGAACAUUACUCUAGAAACUUUGUGGAGCAUCACAAAGCUCAUGUAGUGAUCUUUGCAGGGCGCCCACUUCUAGGCAAAAUAGCAACAGUGCUGAAUUUCCUCCUUUUGUAGACAAUUUGUCAUACUGUGGAUUGGUGAACAUCCAGGUCUUUAGAAAGGUUUUUGGAGCCUUUUCCAGCUUCAUGCAUCUCUGAUCCUCUGAAAAGUCAGAGUCUUGAGAAAUUCAGACUCUGUCUCUACCCAGACUUAUAAGAUUAGCAUUCGAUUACAUUCAACUUUAUUGUCAUUCAGCAAAGUACAGGUACACAGCCAAUGAAAUGCAGUUGGAGUUUCUGUGCUCUGACCCCAACUAAGCUGGGGUCAGAGCACAGGGUCAGCCAUGAAACUGCUGGAGCAGAUAGGGUCAAGGGCCUUGCUCAAGAGCCCAACAGUGGUAUCUUGGCAGUGCUGGGGCUUGAACCCCCAACCUUUUGGUCAGUAACCCAGAGCCUUAACCACUAAGCCACCACUGGCGAAUAAAUGCCGAAAUAAAGGUUCCAGGUCACUGAGUGUGUAUGUACUGUAUAUGUUUUUACAAUUAUCAUACAUUUUGGAGUCACAAAUAUAAAGAUAUUCUUUAUGGUUUCAACAUUUGGCCUGACCAAAAUGUGCCUUUUCACAAAAAUAUCUAAAUAUCUGAUAUUUUUAAAACUUAACACAGUCAUGAGGGUCAAAAGGGGUCUCUCCGUUUUAUGGUAUUUCUUGUUUAUCAAAUAUUAACGUUUUAUUUACUUUUCUAAAGAAAUAAUAACAAAAGAUGAUUCCAAACUACUUAUGGGAACAUUUAUUAAGAGAAUUUGAGCUUUUAUUAAGACUUUUUUUUUUUUGUCUCCAGACAGUUUUAUGGAUGAUGCUAAGUGGUCUGCACAUAUAUAGCGCCUUUUUAACCGUCGAGAUAUUCAAAGCGCUUUACACUAUGUCUCAUUCAUCCAUUCAAACACCAAUGAUGGCAGAGCUUGCUGCCAUGCAAGGUGCUAGCCUGCCAUUUUAUACUGUAAACCCCAGAAAAAAACAUCAAAAUUACUUUGAACUCAGAAAUUGAAAACAUGUUCAUCAUAGUAGACAUAUUCAAGUACCUGUAAUUGUUUUGUGCGCAUUUCAUUUGAAAUUACUUAUUAGAUUAGGAUUGAAAAAAAAGUUUGCGUCACACCAUAUAGCAUAAUAUUUGUGUGGCCCUUUUACAUGGUACUACAUUUCAAAGAAUACCAUGCUAUUAACAUUGUACCUUUUCUUAAAAACCACUGUACUUCU
This is a long non-coding RNA of Xyrauchen texanus (razorback sucker), 3466 nucleotides long. RefSeq lists it as uncharacterized. NCBI's taxonomy places the organism in Eukaryota, Metazoa, Chordata, Actinopteri, Cypriniformes, Catostomidae. The transcript is spliced from 3 exons. The record is from RefSeq and is a predicted model, not a curated record.